RNAcentral lists this RNase P RNA (328 nucleotides) under Chlorobiota bacterium. RNAcentral describes it as "RNase P RNA component class A". It matches the Rfam family "Bacterial RNase P class A". Rfam says of the family: Ribonuclease P (RNase P) is a ubiquitous endoribonuclease, found in archaea, bacteria and eukarya as well as chloroplasts and mitochondria. Lineage: Bacteria; Pseudomonadati; Chlorobiota. The record is from RNAcentral.
GCAGUCGGUCGUUCUGUCGCUCUUUUGAAUUUUUCGAAAGGGAGGAAAGUCCGGACAACACAGAGCAUUGUACUUCCUAACGGGAAGAUACUCGCGAGAGUAUAGUAACGAAGAAGAAAAUAACCGCCUCAAACUUGUUUUGGGGUAAGGGUGAGAAGGUGAGGUAAGAGCUUACCGGUGUUGAAGGUAACUUCGGCAGCCGUUCGUCUUGCAAGUUGCAAUCUCAUGUAUAUCGGCAUUCAAGGGCUGCUCGUUCGAUGCCGAGGGGUAGGGAGCGCAGAUAAAUGACAGAAUUUAACAGAAUCCGGCUUACAGACCGACUGCUUUU